This 253-nucleotide ribosomal RNA is filed under the name uncultured bacterium. RNAcentral's name for it is "partial 16S ribosomal RNA". It matches the Rfam family "Bacterial small subunit ribosomal RNA", at positions 524 to 776 of the family's 1533-position model. The record is from RNAcentral.
UACAGAGGGUGCUAGCGUUGUUCGGAAUUACUGGGCGUAAAGGGCGCGCAUGCGGGACCGUAAGCCAGAAGUGAAAUCCCGGAGCUCAACUCCGGAAUUGCUUUUGGAACUGCGGACCUAGAGUGCAUUAGAGGCAAGCGGAAUUCCAAGUGUAGAGGUGAAAUUCGUAGAUAUUUGGAGGAACACCAGUGGCGAAGGCGGCUUGCUGGGAUGUAACUGACGCUGAGGCGCGAAAGCGUGGGUAGCAAACAGG